UGGGGUAACAGGGAGAAGCUUGCUUUUCCGCUGACGACCGGCGCACGGGUGCGUAACGCGUAUAGAACCUACCUUUUACAGGAGAAUAGCCUUUAGAAAUGAAGAUUAAUGCUCCAUAGUAUUAUUGAUUGGCAUCAAUUAAUAAUUAAACAUUUAUGGGUAAAAGAUGGCUAUGCGUUCUAUUAGCUAGAUGGUAAGGUAACGGCUUACCAUGGCGACGAUAGAUAGGGGCCCUGAGAGGGGGAUCCCCCACACUGGUACUGAGACACGGACCAGACUCCUACGGGAGGCAGCAGUGAGGAAUAUUGGGCAAUGGAGGCAACUCUGACCCAGCCAUGCCGCGUGCAGGAAGACGGCCCUAUGGGUUGUAAACUGCUUUUAUAUAGGAAGAAACCUACUUACGUGUAAGUAGCUGACGGUACUAUAUGAAUAAGCACCGGCUAACUCCGUGCCAGCAGCCGCGGUAAUACGGAGGGUGCAAGCGUUAUCCGGAAUCAUUGGGUUUAAAGGGUCCGUAGGCGGAUUAAUAAGUCAGAGGUGAAAUCCCACAGCUUAACUGUGGAACUGCCUUUGAUACUGUUAGUCUUGAGUUAUAUGGAAGUAGAUAGAAUGUGUAGUGUAGCGGUGAAAUGCAUAGAUAUUACACAGAAUACCGAUUGCGAAGGCAGUCUACUACGUAUGUACUGACGCUGAGGGACGAAAGCGUGGGGAGCGAACAGGAUUAGAUACCCUGGUAGUCCACGCCGUAAACGAUGGAUACUAGUUGUUGGGAUUAUUCUCAGUGACUAAGCGAAAGUGAUAAGUAUCCCACCUGGGGAGUACGGUCGCAAGACUGAAACUCAAAGGAAUUGACGGGGGCCCGCACAAGCGGUGGAGCAUGUGGUUUAAUUCGAUGAUACGCGAGGAACCUUACCAGGGCUUAAAUGUAGUCUGACAGCUUUAGAGAUAGAGUUUUCUUCGGACAGAUUACAAGGUGCUGCAUGGUUGUCGUCAGCUCGUGCCGUGAGGUGUCAGGUUAAGUCCUAUAACGAGCGCAACCCCUGUCGUUAGUUGCCAGCAAGUAAAGUUGGGGACUCUAACGAGACUGCCUACGCAAGUAGAGAGGAAGGUGGGGAUGACGUCAAAUCAUCACGGCCCUUACGUCCUGGGCCACACACGUGCUACAAUGGUAUGGACAAUGAGCAGCCAUCUGGCAACAGAGAGCGAAUCUAUAAACCAUAUCACAGUUCGGAUCGGAGUCUGCAACUCCACUCCAUGAAGCUGGAAUCGCUAGUAAUCGGAUAUCAGCCAUGAUCCA
Molecule: ribosomal RNA, 1297 nt
Filed under: uncultured prokaryote
Description: partial 16S ribosomal RNA
Rfam family: Bacterial small subunit ribosomal RNA
Source: RNAcentral